CUUGAUUCUCUUUUGGCCAGCAGUUUUUAGGUCCGUCAGUAAUGCACUGCAAGAAUGGCAGAUUUUGGGAUCUCUGCUGGCCAGUUUGUGGCAGUGGUCUGGGAUAAGUCAUCCCCAGUGGAGGCUCUGAAAGGUCUGGUGGAUAAGCUUCAAGUGUUAACUGGCAAUGAGGGCCGCAGGUCUGUGGAAAACAUCAACCAGCUGUUGCAGUCUGCCCACAAAGAAUCCAGCUUUGACAUUAUUUUGUCGGGUUUAGUCCUGGGAAGCACCACUCUGCACAGUGCUGAGAUUUUGACUGAAAUCGCCCGGAUCCUUCGGCCUGGUGAAUGUCUUUUUCUGAAAGAGCCAGUAGAGACAGCUGUAGAUAACAAUAGCAAAGUGAAGACAGCAUCUAAGCUAUGUUCAGCCCUGACUCUUUCUGGUCUUAUGGAAGUGAAAGAGCUGCAGUGGGAGCCCCUAACCCCUGAGGAAGUACUGUCUGUUUGAGAAUAUCUUGGUCAUGAAAGUGACCGCCUGCUGUUUGUUCAGAUCACUGGCAAAAAACUAAACUUUGAAAUGGGUUCUUCUAGUCAGCUUAAGCUUUCCAUCACCAAGAAGUCUUCUCCUUCAGUGAAGCCUGCUGUGGACCCUGCUGCUGCCAAGCUGUGGACCCUCUCAGCCAACGAUAUGGAAGACGACAGCAUGGAUCUCAUUGACUCAGAUGAGCUGCUGGAUCCAAAAGAUUUGAAGAAGCCAGAUCUGGCUUCCCUGUGGGCUGCUUCUUGUGGAGAAGGGAAAAAGAGGAAGGCCUGCAAGAACUGCACCUGGGGCCUUGCUGAAGAACUGGAAAAAGAGAAGGCAAGGGAACAGAUAAGCUCCCAGCCCAAGUCGGCUUGUUGAAACUGCUACCUGGACGAUGACUUCCACUGUGCCAGCUGCCCCUACCUUGGGAUGGCAGGCUUCAAACCUGGGGAAAAGAUGCUUCUGAGUGAUAGCAAUCUUCACGAUGCCGAAGAGGGACCUGACAUGGGACCCAUCUGCUCCUCCAGCCAACUCCUGUCCCUCACAUCCCACCAUGGUGGCUCCUCCCACUUCCUCUGGAUUUGUUCACUCUGA
Molecule: RNA transcript, 1095 nt
Organism: Mandrillus leucophaeus (drill)
Lineage: Eukaryota; Metazoa; Chordata; Mammalia; Primates; Cercopithecidae
Gene name: anamorsin pseudogene
Exons: 1
Source: RefSeq, a predicted model, not a curated record